RNAcentral lists this ribosomal RNA (292 nucleotides) under uncultured bacterium. RNAcentral's name for it is "partial 16S ribosomal RNA". It matches the Rfam family "Bacterial small subunit ribosomal RNA", at positions 505 to 796 of the family's 1533-position model. The record is from RNAcentral.
GUGUCAGCAGCCGCGGUAAUACGUAGGUGGCAAGCGUUAUCCGGAAUUACUGGGCGUAAAGCGCACGCAGGCGGUCUUUUAAGUUUGACGUGAAAGCUCCCGGCUUAACUGGGAGAGGUCGUUGAAGACUGGAAGACUUGAGGCAAUGAGAGGGGUGUAGAAUUCCCGGUGUAGUGGUGGAAUGCGUAGAUAUCGGGGGGAAUACCAGUGGCGAAAGCGGCACCCUAGCGUUAGCCUGACGCUCAUGUGCGAAAGCGUGGGGAGCGAACGGGAUUAGAUACCCCAGUAGUCC